CGUUAUUUUGUGAAGGAGGUGGAGUGAAAUUUGUUGAAAAAAUUAUAACAGAAAGUUUAGUGUAUGCCAAAGAAAUCAGAAUCUUCACUACUAUGCUGGGACAUAAAAGUAGUAUAUCGAAAGUGCUGGACAUUCUUAUAGAGAAUAAAAUUCAAAACUUUUGUUCCACUGAAUUUCAUCAAGGCAACACUACGCGUUGGGGAAAAGCAUGGAGUAUUUGUUUAGAAUUCAGUUAAAAAUGGCAAAAAGAAAAACCAUACAACACAAACGAUUUCUGCGAUUUCUCUUUGUAGACGGUUGCUCUUAAGCUUUACACGUAUUAAUAUUAACUAUCAGUUUUGUUUACUUCGUUAGAAAGAUACGUCAAAGGAUUUUUCUGCAACAAGUGCUUCUGAGCAUUUGUAUAUUGCAUUGUCUGGUCCAUAGUUAUGGAUUUCGAACGGGCCCCAUACACGCACUAUGAGGUGUCGAAUUAUUUGCCAUCCAUCUCAGCAACUAUUGGGAAUUACGAACCUCAGCGAACUGUAAAGAGAUUGGCGAUAAUAAUGGAUUUGCCUGUAUGUCUUGUCGCUCAUCUACACCUGACUGGUCGUGGGGGGCGUCUGCCUAGGCGCUCAUGUAGACCUCGACGCUGAUCGGCGUUGAGAUUGCGGCAGCGAUGCCGGGCCCCACUU
Glossina fuscipes is the source of this 674-nucleotide long non-coding RNA. RefSeq lists it as uncharacterized. The record is from RefSeq and is a predicted model, not a curated record. Lineage: Eukaryota; Metazoa; Arthropoda; Insecta; Diptera; Glossinidae. The transcript has 3 exons.